GUGUCAGCCGCCGCGGUAAGACGAACCGUGCGAACGUUAUUCGGAAUCACUGGGCUUAAAGCGCGUGUAGGCGGGCCGCCACGUCGGCUGCUGAAAUCCCCCGGCUCAACCGGGGAACGGGCACCGAUACGAGCGGCCUCGAGGGGGGUAGGGGGACCUGGAACUUCCGGUGGAGCGGUGAAAUGCGUUGAGAUCGGAAGGAACGCCCGUGGCGAAAGCGAGGUCCUGGACCCUUUCUGACGCUGAGACGCGAAAGCCAGGGGAGCGAACGGGAUUAGAUACCCCGGUAGUCCUGGCCGUAAACGAUGAACACUGGGUAGGGGGCUCGCCGAUGGGCUCCCUGCCGUAGGGAAACCGUGAAGUGUUCCGCCUGGGGAGUAUGGUCGCAAGGCUGAA
Molecule: ribosomal RNA, 396 nt
Filed under: uncultured bacterium
Lineage: Bacteria
Description: bacterial SSU rRNA
Rfam family: Bacterial small subunit ribosomal RNA
Source: RNAcentral